Molecule: ribosomal RNA, 372 nt
Filed under: uncultured bacterium
Lineage: Bacteria
Description: bacterial SSU rRNA
Rfam family: Bacterial small subunit ribosomal RNA
Source: RNAcentral
AUACGUAGGUGGCAAGCGUUGUCCGGAUUUACUGGGCGUAAAGGGUGCGUAGGCGGCCUUGCAAGUCAGAUGUGAAAGAUCACGGCUUAACUGUGGUAAGCAUUUGAAACUGUAAGGCUUGAGUGCAGGAGAGGAGAGUGGAAUUCCUAGUGUAGCGGUGAAAUGCGUAGAUAUUAGGAAGAAUAUCAGUGGCGAAGGCGGCUCUCUGGACUGCAACUGACGCUGAGGCACGAAAGCGUGGGGAGCAAACAGGAUUAGAUACCCUGGUAGUCCACGCUGUAAACGAUGAGUGCUAGGUGUCGGGGGCCAUACCUCGGUGCCGCAGUUAACGCAUUAAGCACUCCACCUGGGGAGUACGGCCGCAAGGCUGAA